AUAACACCGUAACUCUGUCCUUCCCAGUAGGGAACAUUUCCAUCAUGAUCAAUCACAAUAUGAAAAGUUUCCCCUGAGCCUUUGGUCCCACUAUUCUCUCAACAGAAACAAUUGUUGCUGUAUAACGUUGUUUAGGCUUGUAUAAGUUCAAGGGAGGCUCAGCUCAGGAGCUUCUUCCAAUUCUAAUGGGGAGACAGUCACUUUGGGUACACUCGCUUGUUGCACUGGCACUGACAUGCAUAUCACCUGACGACUUCUUGCACAGGAGCUGUUUGCUUUCAAGUCCUAAGUGAAUACUGGUGACCAUGAUUUAACCCGAAAGUUGAAGUUAGAUGCCUGCAACAUCAAGCUUAGUUUUCAUCAAAAAUACAAAUUAUAUAACCAAAACAGGUAGCUAAUAUUCAAAACAUAACAAGGUGAACAUCAUCUCUUAUUCUAACAACUGCAGUAUCAUUCCCAGACACCACUUUUGAAAUUGGUAAAACUCAGAAAUGAACACAUCACAAUACUCGAGUGUGUCCUAACAAGACACGGUCAUCAAAGCACCAUUACACUUGGAAAACCAAAAUACCACGUAAAUCAAAGCUCUAAAUGCCUAAGAUCAUAAUAUUCAGUUGCACCAGUUCUAUGUGGAAGAUCGUCUCAACCAACAACCAACAGCUUCUCUUGGAAGAAAAAUAAAACAAAACUUUCAUCUUUAACCGAUAUUUCUCAAUCCGUUACAGUCUUGUAGAUACAGAAAUGAACCAGAUCAAAUGUAUAGAAAAAAUAAUUUUUUCUAAUCUCAUUCAGAAAGAAACAUCCAUCAAUAUCGAUAAUUGCUCCCUCGAGGCGCUAUUGCACAGAAUGCAACUCACAUCUACUCAGAUCAGAAGUGAUUUUGAGCAUUUGAAACUAAACAUGUUAUUAGUCAGAAAAAUCUAACAUAUAACUACAUAUCCUUCAGACAGUUUGGUGUAUAAAUUUCAAAUUACAAAAAUCAGCAAAAGCAAUAAAAAAUUCAUAUAAUCAUGUUUCCAAGGAAAAAAGGCAAACAAAACGAAUCAGAAGAAACAACAAACCUUAAACCCUGAUCUUCUGAUAGACAAAUCACUGCCAACAGGAACAGUUACAGCCAUCUGCAAAAACCCACAAAACAAAAGUCUCAGUAUUCGUAAAUAAAAUUCUACCAAGCAACUAAGAAUCUCAAACAAAACAAAAAAUCCAACUUCGGUUAAUUCUCCAAAGACUUAUGCAUCAAUCAAAAACCCAGAUGGAAAAAAGUGGUGGGGAUAAAAACAAAGACAAAAAGGUCAAAUUUUGAAUCCAUUUGAGGUGACCCAAUUGUGCUGGGAAGCGAAAAAAGUGUCAACGUGGAGAAAACGAUGGUUACCUGUGAUACUGCCAAGUGAGCCAUGAUGAUGAGAUCAACACAUGUUUAAUUAUAUCUCACUAUCUUAUUUUUCAUAUCAUAGCGGAAGUUGUUUGGGUAAUCCUGCAGAUAUUUGGUGAAUUCAUCAUCAUAGAGGAGACUGUCAGUGUUGGCAACACCAAGGAAAAGCCAUGCUAGUCCGCCAAACUUGAAUGUAGGGACUGAUUCCAUGAACAUUCGACUAAGAUAGCCUCUAAAUGGAGCAACGCCGGUGCCGGUGCCGGUCCCAAUCAUUAUAUGGGUAGCAUUUGGGUCAUCCUCAGGCAAAAGCAUUACCUUCCCUGAAGGGCCUGCAAAGAAAAUUGUAGUAUGUAUGUGAAAACCAACACUUGUUGACAACCCAAGACGAGUUAAAUCAUCAGAAGUUUAUCUUACAAUUUUGUUAUCCAUCCUUCUAUAAAUUAGAGUGAACGUAAAAUUGCAAGUUAUUUAUCAGUUGAAAGUAAAAUUUAGAGUGAACACCCAAAGUUGUCACCGAGAAAUUUGGAAGUGGACAAAUUUCAUUUUAGUGUCAUGAGAAAACACAGAUACACAAAAACAUAGGCAUAUAUAACCAAACGCUCAAUAAUAUAAAUAGAUUCAUUUUUAUACGUUGAGCUAGACAAACCAUAAUGAAAGGGAAAAUUGGAGGAGGAAAGAAAGACCAUAAUAUUCAGUGUGUGGAAACUACACAAGGAAAAAAUCAAAUAGGUGCAAAAGUCAUGAAUAUGGACAUGUGGUUAAGAAUGAAGUACGAACAGUAAACUACCCUGUAAGGAUUUAUUUUUUAUUUAGUUUAUCACUUUUCGUUACCAUGUUCAUAUGAUAAGAGUUUGAUGUUAACCAAAGGACCAAAUGUUGGAAUCUAAGAAGAGCUAUUAAAUCGUGAAAAAUAGGCUCACUAGAUUACUAGAAUACAACAUGAAAACCUUUUGAAGUUUAGAAUUCAGGCAUACCAAAUCACCAUGUCUAUCUAAUUUCAAAUUUUCAAGUCAUUGUUCAUUACGUAAUUAGGAAACUUAAUCAAAUAUCCCCAAUUGCCCCAUCUUUUACUUAAGCAAGUUAGUAUUUUCACAUAUAGAGGCCGCCAAUGAAGUCCAAUUGAUUAACAAGCAAACAAGUAGCAGUCAACAAGGUACUCUCCUCUAGUUGGUAAAGAAAUUCCAAAAGCAAGGCACAUUCAGGCAUUAAUUUGAGGAGACAUGGCCAUUGUAAAGCUGUCACAUCACACUUUUGAUAAGGUGUGUAGGGAAANNNNNNNNNNNNNNNNNNNNNNNNNNNNNNNNNNNNNNNNNNNNAAUGAAAGAAGUUAGAAGUCAUUUCAAGCUUCGAUGGUGCAAAAAAGUGUUUGCUUUACCUGUGACCUGAACUUUGUCUCCAGGCUUUGAGUUACACAAGAAGUUGCUACAAAUGCCAUUCUUAGAUGGAUCUUCCUUUCCUGUCUCAGGAUCAUAAUAAACAGCUCGACGCACACACAAACUAGCUGUUUUGCCAUCAAAAGAAUCUCCAUAUCUUGUGGACGCAAUUGAAUAGAGUCGAACAUUAUGGGGACUCCCAGGUUUCUUCGGAUUUUCACCCUGCCACCCAUGUACAAGAGCAUUUAUGAGUUGUAAAGUCAUUUCAGCAUUAACUGCAUGAACUCCUAUAUCUGAUCCCAGAAAAAAGAAAGGAUAAAAAUCUUCUAUGUGAAUUAACAAACUGAAAAGACAUCACUAGUUUUCAGAUCUACUGUGAAGGCAAGGCAGAACCAGGUAAAGUUCUACCAAUGGCCAAUAAUAUUAAACUUUGAAUACGAAGGACAUUUCACAUUUGGUUGGAUGUUGUAAGAUAUCCAAAACAAGGUCCUUUCAUCGAAAUUAAUUCACCAAAUAUUCAGAAGCCAAAGAUCAAUCAUAAUGGAUUCACAUCCACUAAUCAGAUACAAUGAGGAGCGGAAGCAUAAAAUGAGUAUCACUAACAACAAGUCACUUACCGGUGGAAUAACACCAUAACUCUGUCCUUCCCAGUAGGGAACAUUUCCUCGAUGAUCAAUCACAAUUAUGCUCUCAACAGAGACAAUUGUUGCUGUAUAAGGUUGUUUAGGCUUGUGUAAGUUCAAGGGAGGCUCGGGAGCUUCUUUCAAUUCUAAUGGGGAGACAGUAACUUAGGGCACACUCGUUUGUUGCACUGGCACUGACAUGCAUAUCAC
Molecule: long non-coding RNA, 3578 nt
Filed under: Lotus japonicus
Lineage: Eukaryota; Viridiplantae; Streptophyta; Magnoliopsida; Fabales; Fabaceae
Description: long non-coding RNA (LJAP_LNC000884)
Source: RNAcentral